Molecule: transfer RNA, 72 nt
Filed under: Bos taurus (domestic cattle)
Lineage: Eukaryota; Metazoa; Chordata; Mammalia; Artiodactyla; Bovidae
Also listed under: 4 other names
Rfam family: tRNA
About the family: Transfer RNA (tRNA) molecules are approximately 80 nucleotides in length. Their secondary structure includes four short double-helical elements and three loops (D, anti-codon, and T loops). Further hydrogen bonds mediate the characteristic L-shaped molecular structure. tRNAs have two regions of fundamental functional importance: the anti-codon, which is responsible for specific mRNA codon recognition, and the 3' end, to which the tRNAs corresponding amino acid is attached (by aminoacyl-tRNA synthetases). tRNAs cope with the degeneracy of the genetic code in two manners: having more than one tRNA (with a specific anti-codon) for a particular amino acid; and 'wobble' base-pairing, i.e. permitting non-standard base-pairing at the 3rd anti-codon position.
Source: Rfam by way of RNAcentral
UCCCUGGUGGUCCAGUGGUUAGGACUGGACAAUUUCACUGCCGUGGUCCAGGUUCAAUCCCUGGUUGGGGAA